UACAGAGGGUGCAAGCGUUAAUCGGAUUUACUGGGCGUAAAGGGCGCGUAGGCGGCUUGACAAGUCACUUGUGAAAUCUCCGGGCUUAACUCGGAACGGCCAAGUGAAACUGUCAUGCUAGAGUGCAGAAGGGGCAAUCGGAAUUCUUGGUGUAGCGGUGAAAUGCGUAGAUAUCAAGAGGAACACCUGAGGUGAAGACGGGUUGCUGGGCUGACACUGACGCUGAGGCGCGAAAGCCAGGGGAGCAAACGGG
RNAcentral lists this ribosomal RNA (253 nucleotides) under uncultured bacterium. Its description in RNAcentral is "partial 16S ribosomal RNA". It matches the Rfam family "Bacterial small subunit ribosomal RNA", at positions 524 to 776 of the family's 1533-position model. The record is from RNAcentral.